This 22-nucleotide non-coding RNA is filed under the name Arabidopsis thaliana (thale cress). The record is from RNAcentral. Lineage: Eukaryota; Viridiplantae; Streptophyta; Magnoliopsida; Brassicales; Brassicaceae.
UGGGCAAACUUCUCGUGUUCGU